Non-coding RNA from Callithrix jacchus (white-tufted-ear marmoset), 4547 nucleotides. The record is from RefSeq and is a predicted model, not a curated record. Lineage: Eukaryota; Metazoa; Chordata; Mammalia; Primates; Cebidae.
CGAGGUUGGGAGCAUCUUCAGCCCCGAGGCAGCAUCAGAGAUCAUAAUCUGCUCUCUUGGCAAGAAAUUUGUAUGGAUAGAGUUGAUACAGCUCACCUGAAGUUGGGGUGGAGAAAAGAGGCGUCAGACUCCUGGACGGGACAAGAGUUUCACUCUUGUUGCCCAGGCUGGAGUGCAAUGGUGUGAUCUCAGCUCACCGCACCCUCUGCCUCUCAGGUUCAAGCAAUUCACCUGCCUCAGCUUCUGGAGUAGCUGGGAUUACAGGAAUAUACCACCACACCUGGUUAAUUUUUAUUUUAACACAGACGAAAGGCGGAGAAUACUCCAAGCCGCUUCUAAUUAGCUGGAGGAGCAUGUUCCUGCAGAUUACCAGAACCCCCAAGAGUAUGGAAAAGGGGGGGUUCCUGGAAACCCCCCAGUCUGCCUGCCCGGGCCUGCAAUGCGAUCAGUGUGCAUUCUGCUGAGAAAUAGGACGCUGGAAGAAAAAAUGUCCACAGUUAACUGAGGAACAGGACGAUCCUAAGCAGGAGGAUCCAAAUGACUGUGAAGGGGCUCUGUUCAAUCUAAUGGAAGGGCCACUGGACUAAGAGAGGGGGGCUGGACUCAUAUGCCCCCAAAGAGCCCAUGGUCCGGACGACAGCCCUGUAACCCCCCCAUCGAAAGGAACAAGGCCAGUGGUGUUCAAUCAAUUAAGGUAUUAAGAGGACAGACUUUCUUGUACUUAAUGAAUUGCCCCUGCCCCCCUUCUCCAGCAAAACCUACUGUGCAAAUCGAGGGCCACUAUCCCAUUCAACAAAGGAGACUACCUGCAGCUAAAACUGCCUCAGUCGGGGGUCAUCCAGGCUCUCACUGUCCCUUGGGAAGGAGGGUGGAGACUUCCUAGCCAGAAGCAGAAGACUGAUAUUAUCACCCAGGCCAGUGCAGGGUUUGCGUGGCUUUGCACCCAACUUAUACACGCAGUUGGGAUUAUUGCCAGCAGCGGAUAGUUGGUUCACUUAAUUGGACUUAAAAGAAUACCUCCUUAGCAUUGGACUGGCCUUGGAGGGUCAAAAAGUAUUUGCAUUUCAAUGGGAGAAAUCCAGAAGCAGGUGUAACCACUCAAUGCACCUGAACCCAGCUUCCCAGGGGCUCAGAAACUCUCUCAUCAUUGAUGAGGAGGCAUCAGCCUGUGACCAUCCCCCAGAAGCUUCUUGCUUGCAUGCUGCCCCCCUAUGCUGAUAACCUUCUAUUGGGACACCCCACGGCAGUCGGGUGCGCAAACAAAUGCCUUACUUCGGCACCUGGAGGGCUGUGGGUAUAAAGUGUCUAAAAGGAAAGCCCUGAUUUGCCAAAAAGCAAAUGCAAUAUCUGAGGCUCGCCAUCUGGAAGAGGGAACGCAGCCCAGAAGCAGAGAGGAAGCAAGCCCCUGCAAAGUAACAGAACCUGAGACCAAAAAGCAGGUAAGAGAGCUUCUGGGAGUGGUGGGUUUUGUAAAUUGUGGAUUUCCAAACUUCGCAGUACUGACCAAACCCUUACACACAGUGACAAAGGGGAGAGGGGAGAAGACAAGACACCCUUCAAAUGGGGCAGAAGCUAAAAGUGAAACUUCUGUUGGCCCUGGUUUUGGGGUUAGCCAAUUUUAACACAGCUUUUUCAUGCUGUCAAAAAAAAAAAAAAAAAAAAAAAGGGAGGAAGAAAAAUGGCAAUCAAAGAUUCUAGCCUCAACUCUGGGAAGAAUUUAAAUAUCAAAGCACCCCACACAGCAGUGACUCUAAUGAAUACCAAAAGAACUCAUUGGUAAGCCUGCCAAAUACCAGGGCCCGCUAUGUGCAGUGGUUGUACAAGCCAUACAUGAGCCUCGUUUAGGUCGAGUCACUUGAAAAGAUGUUGGGUUGGUACUUUUACAUCUUACACUUAUCAGCCUUAACUAAAACUGUGGCACGGCGGUGUAUUCAUUACAUGUCGGCAACACAACGUGAGGCAGUGUCCCAACUAUUCUCCCUGGCAUUCAAGCUUACGGAGCAGCUCUGUUUUAAAGAUCUCCAGGUACUGAAAUGUCCCAAGUGUGGGGGACAUAAGUAUUUGUUGGUCCUGUUGUGCACAUACUCUGAGUAGGACUGAAAAGGCCCAUGAAGUAAUCCCUGUGCUCCUUCGAGAUCUUAUCCCUAGGUUUGGACUGUCACUGCGCAACAGAUCAGACAACGGACCAGCAUUUGUGGAGGAUUUAGUCCAGAAAACAGCAACGGCCUUGGGUAUCACCUGGAAACUGCAUGCUGCCUACCGACCUCGGAGUUCUGGAAAAGUGGAAAAAUCGGACCAUCAAAAACAGCUUAGGGUAAGUGUGUCAGGAAACAAGGUUAAAGUGGGUGCAGGCACUUCCCUUGGUAUUAUUCAAAAUUAGAGGCACCCUCUUUAGGAAAAACAGGAUAUUCCCCUAUGAAGUCUUAUACCAUAGGCCCCCUCCCCUACUCCCGGCACUCCUAGGAACUCCUCGGGAGUGGGGAGAGAUUGAGUUAGGAUGCUAGUUACUAGCCCUAGGGAGAAUUGCUUAGGAUACUUCAACCCGAGUAAAUAACAAAUGUUCUGUAAGCCUUUUUCUCCCCAGUUCACCCUUUCUCACUAGGUAAUCAUGUGUGGAUAAAGGACAGGAAUACAGUCCCUCUAAAGCCACAAUGGAAAGGACCUCAGACUUGAUCCUGACCAAUCCCAGCCUGAAUCCACUACAGCCGUGUAAAACCAGCAACACCUGAGACUUGGACCAAGGCAAGGACUGCAGAAUCACCUUAAAAAGGACAACAAGCCUUGCUCCAGCCACAUCCUGGAAGCUGGCUGGUCCACGCAUGGCCGAAGCAUGAGGAAAUUCACCGUGGGACUUGUUCUUAAUAUUUGGACUUGUACAGUAGGAGCAUUAACUAAUUUUAAAGAAUGCCCUCGGUAUGUACACCAGGUAGGGCAUAAAAGUUACAGCCAUUCUUUUGUCCUACAGUUCUUAUAAAUGUACAGGGGGACAGAGAAGGGAACCUGUUUAUAUAACGGUACUCAAUAUAAGGUGUGUAGUCCAUGAAAUGGACAGGUAGCUGUGUCAUAGGCAUCAUUAAGCCCUCUUUCUUCCUAUUAAGACGGGUAGGCUGUUAAUGUAUUCAGUCAACUCCGCUAGAGAGAAAAAGAAACCUAAAGAUAGGAGAAUGGACAGAUAAGUGGCCACUGGAGAAAACUAUUAAGUAUUAUGGCCCGGCCACAUGGGCAGAGGAUAGCUCAUGGGGAUACCAGACCCCUAUUUACAUGCUCAACCGGAUCAUCCAGUUGCAGGCCGUUUUGGAAAUACUCACUAAUGAAACGGGCAAAGCUCUGUCCCUUUUAGCCCAACAACAACAACAAAAACUCAAAUGAGAAAUGCGAUUUACCAGAACCGGCUGGCCCUAGAUUUGCUAGCAGCCUAAGGAGUCUGUGGAAAAUUCAAUGUAACCAACUGCUAUCUGCACAUAGAUGACCAGGGGUAAGCAGUGGAAGGUAUUGUGCGAGACAUGACCAAACAAGCACAUGUACCUGUACAAGUGUGGCACGGAUUUAACCCUGAGUCCUUAUUUGGAGGUUGGUUCUCAUCCUUGGGAGGAUUCAAAACCCUCACCGUAAGUGUUAAAAGAGCAGGCCAGCUGGAGCCUCCUGAAUCUCCUUCCUGAAAACAACAGGCUAGGCCUUGGGGAAACUCUCCAGAAGGCACUAUUUUUACUUAAAAAGAGAUCAAACCAGAAACCUUUUCACGUGUGAGGCCUAAAACUGUAAACCAGAACCCUUUCAUAUGUGAUUCCUGAAACUGUAAGCUAAAACCUUUUCACGUGAGUCCUAAAACAUGAACCUAAGAUUCUUCCAUGUGUAACAUCUAAAGUAUAAGCCUAUAUAAAGGCUGAACCUCCCUUUGUUAGAUGAGCUUGGCUGUUAGGCACCUAUGCCACCUUGCUCCCAGCUGAAAUAAAUUCUUUCCUCCUGUAUUCGGUGUCCGAGAUCCUUUCCCGCAGCCGCUCCUGCUACAAUAGUCCUAUCUACCAGUUUAAAUGAAUGCUUAAAAAUUUUCUACUGGAUAGAAGUAGGUGGUGUCUUAAGGCUAGGUAAGGGUAAACAAGCUAAAAUAGCAGCCAGUGACUUUAGAGACCAUGAAACCAAAGUUAAUCUUUUUAAGUCCUUUUAAUUGUUCUUAUAAACUAGUGUAAGAUAUAAACUUAAGUAGUACACAUGAGUUUUAUAAUUUACCCAUCACUGGCAGAUAGCUAAGCAUAGCACAUCAGGGCAUAACACAGUGUGAGGGAAAUAAAGUGUACAAUGACAUCUUCUAUUCUGGACCUAAUAAUUCAACAAAGAAAGAACUACUUGUGGUCAUUGUGGUUACAAAAGGUUUCAUGGAGACAGUGAAGAUAAAGCUCUACUUACUAACAAAUAGGUUUUAAUGAUAAAAAUAUGGGCCUUCAAAGAACUAAAGGUACCAAUGUGUGACAGUCCAAAAUUUAUGAGGAAAAUGAGUUCCCUUCAUGGGUCACAUCAGCAAUUUUUUUUUUCCUCUUGAGACAGUCUCA